GCCCCUAUGGCUCAGUGGUAGAGCGCUCCACUCGUAAUGGAGAGGUCCAUCGUUCGAUCCGGUGUGGGGGCA
Molecule: transfer RNA, 72 nt
Filed under: Aspergillus nidulans
Lineage: Eukaryota; Fungi; Ascomycota; Eurotiomycetes; Eurotiales; Aspergillaceae
Also listed under: 1 other name
Description: tRNA-Thr
Rfam family: tRNA
About the family: Transfer RNA (tRNA) molecules are approximately 80 nucleotides in length. Their secondary structure includes four short double-helical elements and three loops (D, anti-codon, and T loops).
Source: RNAcentral